CCUGGCGCGGUGGCUCACACCUGUAAUCCCAGCACUUUGGAAGGCUGAGGCGGGUGGAUCAUGAGGUCAGGAGAUCGAGACCAUCCUGGCUAACACGGUGAAACCCCAGCUCUACUAAAAAAUACAAAAAACUAGCCGGNNNNNNNNNNCCGGCUAGUUUUUUGUAUUUUUUAGUAGAGCUGGGGUUUCACCGUGUUAGCCAGGAUGGUCUCGAUCUCCUGACCUCGUGAUCCACUCGUCUCGGC
This 245-nucleotide signal recognition particle RNA is filed under the name Chlorocebus sabaeus (green monkey). RNAcentral describes it as "Metazoan signal recognition particle RNA". It matches the Rfam family "Metazoan signal recognition particle RNA". Rfam says of the family: The signal recognition particle (SRP) is a universally conserved ribonucleoprotein. It is involved in the co-translational targeting of proteins to membranes. The eukaryotic SRP consists of a 300-nucleotide 7S RNA and six proteins: SRPs 72, 68, 54, 19, 14, and 9. The record is from Rfam by way of RNAcentral. Lineage: Eukaryota; Metazoa; Chordata; Mammalia; Primates; Cercopithecidae.